CUGCAGCCCGACUUGAGCGGAGCUCUUUUUCUUUUUUUUGCCAAAAAAGAAAAAAGCGGGAGUGGAAGGCGGAUUAAGC
This 79-nucleotide small RNA is filed under the name Epilithonimonas arachidiradicis. RNAcentral describes it as "Chryseobacterium arachidiradicis Flavo-1 RNA". The record is from RNAcentral. Lineage: Bacteria; Pseudomonadati; Bacteroidota; Flavobacteriia; Flavobacteriales; Weeksellaceae.